RNAcentral lists this long non-coding RNA (591 nucleotides) under Lathyrus oleraceus (garden pea). Its description in RNAcentral is "Pisum sativum (pea) long non-coding RNA (PSAT_LNC006799)". The record is from RNAcentral. Lineage: Eukaryota; Viridiplantae; Streptophyta; Magnoliopsida; Fabales; Fabaceae.
AUAAUCUUCAUGAAAAACAAGGGAGAUUUUCUUGUAGAAUUUAAAGAUGUUAUCAAUUUUGUACGUAUUUGGUAUCUGCACAUAGCAGUAUUUGCGUAUAUUAGAACAUGUCACAAUAACAUAUGAGGAAGGCACGUUAAAAGCUUGAAGUUUUUCAUAGUCACUCCACUGCCUCUGGAGAUUGGCGUUGAAAUGUCCUAUAAGACGACCCUCAUUAUAAUUCAUGGUUUCAUGAAAAAUUAAAUAAAAUCUAUGUUGGUCAUAUUGCAUAAUACUGCGAGUGUUGAAUUUUAGAACUUCUUCUACAAUCCCUUUAUUGCAAUUUUGUCUGACCUUCCUUGAAGCCAAUUUUUUGUCCAAUCAUGUCCUUGUUUCUCAAACAAUGAUCCCUACCUAUAAUAUAUUGAUUUUGCCAAAGUUGUAAUAGGUAAGUUACAUGUGAAUUUAAGCAUCAAGAUCAUUGAAUCGACAAGUUUGGUUAUCAAGUGGCCCCUUCUCCGACCUCCAUCAUACACUCGAGUCCAUUUUUCUUUCAGAAUCUUAUAUACCCACCUCAAAGCUUAUAUGUAUGCUUGGCGUAUUUUCUAACGA